This 39374-nucleotide long non-coding RNA is filed under the name Setaria viridis. RNAcentral describes it as "long non-coding RNA (SVIR_LNC006250)". The record is from RNAcentral. Lineage: Eukaryota; Viridiplantae; Streptophyta; Magnoliopsida; Poales; Poaceae.
CUGUUGGUGCCACAUCCCUCUCUAUUGACUACGAAGGAGUGACUACGUUAAGCUCUUCCUCCAUAUAUGGAUUGUAGGUUGCUACGUAAUUUUGAGACGUAUGUUGAGUUUAAGAUCUUAUGUUGUUUAUCACUUACUGGAUCUCUUUCUUCUUUCUUUCUUUUAUAUUUCCUUUUGACAAGGUUGUGUGUUGUUGCAUAGGCGGCUGGAAUCUAAGCUUUCUUCAUCCAAAAGAAGAUUAUGUAAAACAACCAGAAAGAAACAAAAGGGGGGCGGUUAAUCUCCUUCUAAGGGGAUUAGGGUGGGGGGAUUUUGACUGGUAGGGGAUGUUUUGUAGGAGGAUGUGCACCACAACAUAAGUAACAUGGAAUCUGUGGGUACACUUUUGGCAACAUACCUUCAAACCACAUUCUAUGCAACAAUAAUCUUGUGCAAACCAUAUAUAGCUAUGCCCACCAUUUUUAGAACAAUGUUCAAUAGACUACCAUAUGUAUAUGAACGUGCACGAUGGAUAUUAGAGACAAAACAUAGUAGUAGUAUAACUUGCACAAAACUACAUUUAUGAUCUUUUGUAUUUGAGCCAGGAAGUUCUUUCAAAAGAUAACCCACAAGAAAGCACGCACUGGUCUUGUUGUGCACUAUACGUUAGGUGUUGCAAUUGCAUAUAAUCUGUUUUAUUUAGUUAGUUUGAACAACCGUGCAUGGCUAGGCACUUCCGAAAGGCUUCACUUCAAGUAAUUGUCAAACCAGUCGAUCAUUAGACCAAGAGCUUGCUCAGCAGUUUAUAUCUACAAGCAAAUCCAUGUGCAACUCCUGGAAAGACCUUGGCGUAGUAGGGAAUCUGCAAACAACCAAUGCCACAAAAAUGAGCUUUUCCAACUGAUAUAUAGUAUCCUCUAUGACGGAAUCACUAGGAACUCACCUCUGUUCUAUGACGCAAUACACUCACAUACUGGUACACUAGUUUUGGCGGUGCGACUUCGUCAUAUUGAGCUCCAAGGAUCUCGAUUGGACAUUUAACCUCUGUUUUGAAUGGUCAUAUAGUUAGCAUACGAAAUUAAGCACUUAAGUUCAGUUCCAAAGACAUCUCAAUCGAUGCUGUCUGGGAGGUUGCAAACACAAAGAAAAGGAGCAAACCUUUCAUGUCAUCAGUAGUCACAAUGUAAGGAUGAGAAAUGGAAACUACUUUAACAUCACUGGUUUUCCCCAUCUCUACACUAAACUUUCCUGUCAGUUACGCGGCAAUAGGAGAUAAGAAUUUUAUGCUCUGUAUGUUGCCUGAAGAAGGAUUUUGGAAGCUGGAAUUUCACUCACCACCCCAGCAAUAACCUCCCACCCCGAUGGACUUUCCUUCCUUUUUGAAAGCAGCAAAGAGUGGCUUGGCGUCUUUGGCAGCUUUUACCUGCCAGAUCGAUCGGAUACUCAAAUCAAUAUAUUUUCAACUCAUGAUGCAAUGAGCAUAAGAUGAAAUUUGAAAGGGACAUGGAACAGACCUGGGAGUGGAGCUUGAUCCACUCUGAAAUGUUUUUACUUGAGUCUAAAUAAUCUCCAUUGAAGAAAUCAGGCACCACAACAAAGUAUCCAGCCUCGCUAACUUUAUCGGCUAUCUGUCUGCAUCAUUAAAAGAUCAAGAAAGGGAUGAACAAUAGCUAGUACAGAGAGGGAUUCUUGCGUCGUUGUACUCCAAACAAAAUGCAAUCUAUCUCAUAUGAGAAUUAACUUUCACUGGAUUGUCUUUUUUUUGGAAAAAAAAACUGUACUGUAUUUUACUCUGUACAGAAGCACAAAGCAUUGUUAUGUUUUUUAAAAAAAGAUAGUCAAAUAAAAUUUGCUCUAGAUCUUCAAAGUCUCUAAAAUCAUUUGUUGAUAUUUAAAAGCAGUUUGCUAUGGUUAUGAUUGCGUUGCUACUUGCUACAAGCAUCAUAAGGGAGUACUAAGCAGGAAAAAUCGAAAGCAUGCCAGCCGAAUGAUCUAGUUCUUCAAAGUCUCUAAAAUCUGGAGAGAUGCUAGUUGACCAAGAACAGAGCAUCUUGAUCUACGAUAGUAAGCCAGAGUAGAGCAAGAAAGAACACAAAAUUUGGGAAUUAAAAGACCGUAGAUAUAUUUAUGUACCUGAGUAAAGGUGCCUCGAACCCUGAGGAAAUCAAUCAAAAAGUGGAGAAAAAUUUCCUGUCAAAACGUACGCCCAAAUUGACUAGAAACUGCAUAAGUGUAGUACUACGGUCGAAACACCAACCGAAAACAUCGGAGGCGAGGACGAUGGCGCGGCUUGAGCUUGCAGCUGAAGGAUUGAAAGGGCGAUAAAAGGAGGUGAAUGGGAGCCUAUAAAAAUUCUCAACAAGAAUAAGGCCUAUGUCCCAAAUGCAACCCCAAAGCACACAGCACGUUGUAUCGUCAAGAUGACGCAAGUCAACUCGUGACAAGCUCAUCCUAGGAAUGAUACACGUAUCGAAAGCAAAGUUCAAAGUGAUCCGAAUACGUGCUUGACAUGGCGGAAACAUAAAGUGACUCACAAUCAGAUUCAAGCAAGCCCACAAAAAACUUACUCAACUAAGCAUAAUUAGCAAGAGAGAAAACACAUUAGUACUCAAGCAAGUGAACAAGUAUUAGUUGGCUAAGUGUUAGGAUUAACAGAGGAUUAGAAAAGCUAAUUUAACACCGAACAACAAUGGAUUAGAACGGUGCUAUCAGCCAUGUGCAAGAACUAAUAAUGAUUACUCAAUGAUUUGAUCACUGUAGCUAGAAAGCAACUCUUCGUGGCACGAAGGCACUACCUGCUACUUGCGUUGCUUGCCUGCUCGCUGCUUGGCUUGUCGCCGUGCUUGCGGCCUGGUCUGGCCCGCGACGCAUCAGCUACUCCUGGGUCGCAAGCUCCAGACGGCCUGCUAGCGAUCAGCACCUGGGGCAGCCUGCCAACUCGCUGGGCUGCCGGCCUGCGAAGGCUGCUGGGCCGCUGCUUGCUUCCACCGGCCCGCGUGCCGCUCGCUGUGAACGGCCUGGCAGCAAGUGUAGCGCUGCUCCGUCACCUGCGCACCCGAACAGAAGGAAACGAAGAACAGAGAGAAGAACAGCAAGAACACCCAAGAACACACGUAACUUCGAAUCGUGAGAUCUCCUUCCGCACUCCACGCAUCAAGAUGAAACUUGACCCAAGGAUGCACUACCCUAGGAAAAAUAGAUCCAUGAGACAAAUCACGAAAAUCUCAAGUAUUCAUCGCAAAUCUUAGGGAAAAUCAAAACCCUAACUCAAACUCGGUUUUGGAAGAAACUCAAAAUUCAAGUCGGAUUCGUGAGAUAUAUGGAAGGGGAUCAUAUUAAAGAAGCUCCACGAAGUCCUAGCAACAUUCCCCUUUAACCAAACUCACGAGAUUCGGGCUCCAACAAGAUGAACGAAAAUUCUCAAAAAUGAGUCCAAAAAUAGGAAAAAAGAAAAACGCUCGGGAACAAAGAUUUUGCACGAUUUGAGACAACAAACCACACUAAAUCACGAGAGCAUCUUCUUUACAAAAGAGGGCUAGCCUCCUCCCUUCAUCCACCCACUAAAAGAUGAAAAAAUCAAGAGAAAAGAGUAAUCACUCUCUAAUCUCCCUCUCUCCUCUCACUUUAAGCACAUGACUAGCCUCUAAGCCAAAAGAUAAUGAGUUGCUAAGCAAAGAGGUGCUGAAAUAACCAGCCCCCCAUCCCUAUUUAUAGUCCAGGACGAAAGACUAUACUACCACUACAGCUAUAACUAAGAUAACUACCCACGCAGGGGCAUUUUGGUCCAAGUUUUUAUCUGCGCUAAGACUAUACUACCCCUAUAGCUACAACUAAGACUAUAAUGUUUUGCUUUUCGUGGUCGAAAAGAUUAGAUAGAUAUUUUGUACUGUAGUUGCUCAUCACUCCAAUUAUGUACACUUCUUCGCGCGUUAGGUCCCGUUUGGAUACCCUGCUAAAGUUUAGCACCUGUCACAUCGGAUGUUUGGAUCCUAAUUAGGAGUAUUAAACAUAGGCUAAUUACAAAAUUAAUUGCACAUAUGGAGUCUAAUUCGCGAGAUGAAUCUAUUAAGCCUAAUUAGUUCAUGAUUUGAUAAUGUGGUGCUACAGUAACAAUUUGCUAAUGAUGGAUUAAUUAGGCUUAAUAGAUUCGUCUCGCAAAUUAGCACAGGAUUCUGCUAUUAGUUUUAUAAUUAGCUCAGGUUUAGUCCUCCUAAUUAGCAUCCGAUCAUUUGAUGUGACACUGUUAAAAUUUAGCACAUAAAUAUCCAAACACCCCCUUAUUUCAUUUUUGAUCUUGGAGUCGCCGCUGCCGACCUCGAGACUGGACUAGGGUGGCUGGCUUAAUCCCACCCUGCUGGGAUCAGCCUCCAUGGGGGCGACAGAUGCCACUGCCUAGGCAUGGUGGUGGCUGUUGCUGUAGCCCAGCGUUUGCAGGUGUACUGUGUCCCUGACAAUAUGUGUGCGCAUGCAGAUUGGCCUCUCGGAUCUAUGGAGUGCUGAUAUGUGUUGCUUGAUGGUGUUGUGUCGAGGUAGGUUUGGGAUGUGUGCUCGGAGCGAAGGCCUUUGUCCUUCGCCGGCAAACGAUGGUGGCGCCUGUUGGUGCCAUAUCCCUCUCUAUUGACAACGAAGGAGUGACUACGUUAAGCUCUUCCUCCAUAUAUGGAUUGUAGGUUACUAGGUAAUUUUGAGACGUAUGUUGAGUUUAAGAUCUUAUGUUGUUUAUCACUUGCUGGAUCACUUUCUUCUUUCUCUCUUAUAUUUCCUUCUGACAAGGUUGUGUGUACUACCUUGUUACAUAGGCUAGAAUCUAAGCUUUCUUCAUUCAAAAGAAGAUUAUAUAAAAUAACUAGAAAGAAACAAAAGGGGGCGGUUAAUCUCCUUCCAAGGGGAUUGGGGUGGGGGAGAGGGGGAUAGGGAUUUUGACUGGUAGGGAAUGUUUUGCAGGAGGAUGUGCACCUCAACAUAGGAGGCGUUUGGUUCCCUUUGCUUAUUUUGAGCACGUGUCACAUCGAAUGUUUAGAUACUAAUUAGGAGUAUUAAACAUAGACUAUUUACAAAACCCAUUACAUAAGUGGAGGCUAAAUGGCGAGACGAAUCUAUAAGCCUAAUUAAUCCAUCAUUAGCAAAUGUUUACUGUAGCAACACAUUGUUAAAUCAUGGACUAAUCAAGCUUAAUAGAUUCGUCUCGCAAUUUAGCCUCCACUUAUGUAAUGGGUUUUGUAAAUAGUCUACGUUUAAUACUCCUAUUAGUAUCUAAACAUUCGAUAUGAUGGGUGCUGAAAAUAAGCAAGAGGAACCAAACCAGGCCAUAAGUAACAUGGAAUCUAUGGAUACACUUUUGGCAACAUACCUUCAAACCACAUUCUAUGCAACAAUAAUCUUGUGCAAACCAUAUAUAACUAUGCCCACCAUUUAUAGAACAAUGUUCAAUAGACUACCAUAUGCAUAUGAACGUGCACGAUGCACUACGAGAAUGUCCAAGUUUGCCGUGUGUCCACGGCACACGACGAAGCCAAAAAAACCUCAGCAAAGCCUUUGCUGAGUGGGCAUACAUAGUGCCGGUAAAAAUUUCUUUGCUGAGUAUUUUUUAUCGGGCACUCAGCAAAGACUUUUUUUUUAAGAAACAGGAGGGGGAGACCCCUACUGAAUUUAUUAAAGAGCUAAACAACAAAAGGGUCCAAAUACAAAUCAAGACCGAGAGAUCAAAAAUAAAAUAAAAAAGCAAGAACCAAAAGUAAGAACUGGGAACAACAUUUACAGGGAAUCUACCAAGCUAACAUAAGUGACUGGAUCUGGGUCUUGGCCCUAUGAAGAGCUACCAUGCGAAAUUCCGAGACAAAUUUCCGUUUGAUGUUCCUGAUCAUCGGAGCAGAAUUAUUGAAGAGCAGACUUUGCCAGUGCUAAAAUUGACGCUCGGAAAAAAAAAGCAACAUGACAGUGCGAAAACGGUCAUGCCACGUUUGCCGAGUGUCUAAUGGCAUGGACACUCCACAUGUUUGCCGAGUGUCCACCGAAAAAAUCCUCGACAAACAUGAGUCAUUUUAGACUUUAGGCACAAUUUCCUAAAGGAACACCAGAAAUUUCACAUAAAUUUUCACAUUAGCUGUGUAAAUAAUAGCAAAGUUCUUGCAAGGUGACCAUACUUGCAAGGUAUGCUCGUACAAGUUCAAAUUUGUUGUAAAUCUGCAGUUACAGUCCGAACAUAUAAUGACCUGAACAGCAAAAAGAUCUGCCUCGACAGCACCAGGGGAGGUGGGAGCUCACUCUUUACUGCUUAGCCUAAAUUUCAUAUAUUCCAGUAUAUUUUUUUUAUGGAAGAGGUAACAAUUUUCUUGUGGGAGAUUGUUAGUACAACUGAGCUAAUGGCAUCAUGCACGGUAGAAAAAACGGGGGGCCCUGGCGUGGCGUCCCUGUAGGAAAUGGGGAACGUGUGCCACGCCACACAUGCACGCGUGCGUGCUUAAUUUCAAGGGAAUCAAAUUCUGCACUCGUCCGGCUAGUCUCACUCUCACACCCGACCAUCAUCAGCGAACUAAUGAAGCGAACUUUUCAAGGCCACGCACAUGUAUAAACCGCUUGAGAACACACUUGUACUAAUGAGUUCUCUGUCACAUGAUCCAACAGAUGGUGAUCUCGGCCACGACGAACGACGAUACGAUACACUCGCUACGGUACUACCUGCAGAGAUUCUUGACCUGCUGCCAUUCGUUUCUCGCGCUGGCACGCAGCCUGGUCGUGAUCCUGUGUGCUUUUGCUUGCAGAUGGCGGUUUGAGAUCCUGGAGAUCCAAAUCCUCUCCGCGAUUCUGGUAGUCGUAGGGAGGCUCAGGCUCGCGCGCGCGCGGGGCCUCGCCUCGCACGCCCCUCGAAGCGCGCACGCCAUUGUUGCGUCCCCGCGACUUCCACCGCAGGCAGGAGGGAGAGGGACCGAGGGAGUAGUGCCUGCACCAACUCCCUGGGGGCCGCGGCCAACCGCAGCGCGACGUGUGUCCACUCCGACACGGCGGGCGGGGAGGAGUAAAGAAACCGGGCAGCGCGGGCCACGACCCCACGAAACACCGACGAUUAGUUUAGGUCUUGUUGGAAGUGCCAAAUUAUUGUUACAGUACUGUAUCAUACUGUAGUAUUUCAUUUGUAUUUAUGAAUUAUUGUCCAAACAUUGACUAAUUAGUUUUAAAAGAUUCGUCUCGCAAAGUACAACAAAACUGUGCAAUUAGUUUUUAAUUUCGUCUACAUUUAGUACUUCAUGCAUGUACCGCAAGUUUGAUAUGAUAGGGAAUCUUUUUUUUGCAUAGUGUCAAAGUUGGCAGUGGAGGGUGAACUAAACAAGGGCUUAUAUGCGGCCGCUACGCUACGUACUCCAGCCGGGACAGAAGGAAUCCGGCCACACCUUCAAAAAAAAAAACCAGGAACCCGGGCACCGAGCGAGCCCUUGACCAAGUCCACGCGGUCCAGACAAGCCCACUGGCCAUUGGAAAAUUCGACCCCACAGGAAAUCCUAAGCGAUGUAAUCAUCCAUAUGUGGGUCCAAGACAUGAUUUUUUUGGCUGUGAACACUGCACAGCAACUCGCGAGAAUCUUUUCCCUCAGCCUUUUUUAUCUGUAGGUUUUGGGAGCACCGAGAGGAGGAAAAAUUGGCUUAAGAUGGAGUUGUUAUUGGGUAUGCGGAAAAGUAGGGAACGAAGUUGGACAACUGUUGGAGCUUUGGUUUUUCACCUUGGUUACCAAAACUAGUCAUUGAAAUCAUAUACCGGGCACUCUUGGAGAUGCUAUAACUGAUGAUCUAGUACAUAUAUCUUGAACAUUAUUUUUUUUUAAAAUCUGGUCGGUAGCAGUUAAACUAAUUGUCUAAACCAAUUAUCUAGUACCUAAACCAAUUAUUGUCUCGACCACCUAAACUAAUUGUUGUCUCUUGCACUGUAUCUUCCAGAUGGUAAAAGUAAAUAAAAAAAAUGAAAAUCGGGGUUGGUGGGGUAAAGUGCUCAUGAGACAAAGAGCAUCGUGGGAGGUGAGGCCGUGCUUUACAAAGCACUUUCUCGGGUCGUUCGCAUCUACGACUGUGAGGCCCUGAGAAUUGAAGCGCCCUUCCUCUCUGACACCACCACAAGCUAGCAGAGCUGUAGAGCCAGCUUCCCAGUCGAGAUGGCCGAACUGAUGGCGAGCGCCGCCACGAGCGUGAUGGGGUCCGUCAUCGGCAAGCUGACUGCCAUGCUCGGCGACAAGUACCAGUUCGCCAGAGACGUGGAGCAAGGGAUCCGCUUCCUGAAGGAUGAGCUGAGCAGCAUGGAUGCCGUGCUGCAGAAGCUCGCAGACAAGGACGACGACCAAAUGGAUCCAAUGGAUAAAGAUUGGAGGAACAAGGUGCGUGAGCUAUCCUUCGAUAUUGAGGAUUGCGUCGAUCGCUUCAUGCUCAAUCACAGCCAUGGAGGUUCCAAGGCUAACUUUGUUCGCAAAGCCGUGCGUAAGGUGAAGAUGUUGUGGGAGGACCAGGGCAUAGCAGGGGAGAUCCAAAAACUCAAGAAACUCGUGACAGAGCAGAGUGACCGGGCCAAACGCUACCCUGUGGGAAUGCGGUGCGACUCACCUCAGCCGGUGCGCUUGGAUCCUCGAGCAACUGCCCUCUUUUCAGGAGGCGAGGGAUCCUGUGGGAAUUGAUGGUCCUCGCGAGGAAAUCAUCCAGCUAUUACAAGUUGAAGAAAAGCAGCACAAGGUGGUGUCCAUCUAUGGUACCGCUGGGCAGGGGAAGACUACUCUAGCCAUGGAGGUAUACCGAAAAAUCCCACAAGCAUUUGAUUGCAGGGCUUUCGUGUCUGUAUCUCAGACUCUGGACCUGAAGAAGCUACUCAGAGAUAUAUUGUCUCAAAUAGUAAGCAAGAGCGAGUUUGACCAGUUGCAGUCGGAAAGGUGGGAGACGGAGCAGCUCAUGCGCGAAAUGAUAGACUACUUAAUUGGCAAGACCAGAAUUACUUUCUUGUACUAUAAUAAUUAGCCAGUUCAUCUAGCUAUGGCAAUGUUGUGAGGUCUUUGUCGAUCACAUGAGCUCACCUAAUUUAUCGGCCAUUUUACGGUUGUAUUUUACGGACCCAUUCGAGCAUAAAACUACCACAUAUGCAUUUGUUACAUGACUUCAGCUGUUCAACAUAUCUACCAAAAGCCAUCGCUAAAUAUCUUACAACAAGGUCAAGUCAACUGCCCAUGAAUGUAGGCGUAUGUGGUUGGAGUUGGCCUGUACUAUUGUGCGCAAAUGAUAUUUGAGUAGAAAAUUAUUUACUCUAUACCAUCAAAUAAUUCCAGAUUCAGUAAAAUUAUUUCUUGAUAACUUCAACCAUGUUUGUUUCGUAUAGCCAUUCUAAAUAUCCAUAAAAAUCUUCUUUAAUCCGUCUCUUUACUUUUCUCCAAUAUCUUUCACCAUGAUAUGCUCUAUAUGUUGAAUAGUUAUGAUGGCCUCGUAACAUGAUUCCUCAACCAAUGCAUGCAGGUACUUCAUCUUGAUUGAUGAUAUCUGGAAUGUAUCAGAUUGGGAGCUUGUACAAGCUGCCUUACCUCGCAAUGACAACGGAAGCAGAAUAAUUACUACAACACGCAGUAAAACAGUAGCCAAAACAUGUGCUGGUACUGAUGCACAAAUGUACAAAGCAAAGCCACUUGGUGAUGACGAUUCUCGCAGAUUAUUCUUUAAAAGGCUAUUUCACUCAACUGAACAUUGUCCCCAAGAUUUGAUGGCAGUAUCCAGUGAUAUUUUGAGGAAAUGUGGGGGAUUACCAUUAGCCAUAAUCAGUAUAGCUGGUUUAUUAGCAAACAGAAGCAAAACCAAGGAAGUCUGGGUCAAUGCAUUGAAGUAUAUUUCUGCGGCAGUUGACAAAGAUUCUCACAUUGAUAAAAUGAAAAGAAUUUUUCUGCUUAGUUACUUUGACCUUCCUCUUUAUCUAAGGAGCUGUAUGUUAUAUCUGAGCGUGUUUCCGGAGGAUUAUUUGAUUGAUUGUAGACGGUUGAUAUUGUUAUGGGUAGCCGAAGGACUGAUUCCUGGACAAGGCAGAGAAAAUAUGGAGCAGCUUGGGAGGAGUUACUUGAAUGAGCUGAUCAAUAGAAGCUUGGUCCAACCAACCAAGGUUUGGGCAGAUGGCGCAACAGUUAAAGAGUGCAGGGUUCAUGAUGUCAUACUUGAGUUUAUUGUAUCAAAGGCUGUGGAGGACAAUUUUGUUACUAUAUGGAAUCGUAAUGGGUUUUCUGAAAAUUAUUCUUCCAACAAGAUUCGCCGUUUAUCUAUCCAACAUGACAUUUCUAGGCGGGCUGAAGAGAUGGUGAAGAUAAAAGAACAUGCAGCUCAUAUUCGAUCAAUUAAUAUUUUUGACCCUAAUUCAGUGCUGCUAAUUAAAAACACCUCUAUAUUUUUAAGUAGCCAAGUCUUGCGAGUGCUGAAUAUAGAAGAUCAUGUUUGGGAGGAGUUAGUUGAAGAUUACUGCUAUUUAGGACAUGUCAAAAGUUUUUGUCAAAUGAAGUACUUGAGGUUAAAAAUUUGGAUAUCACUAUGGUUCGAACUCCCAAAAGAUAUAGAAAAGCUGCAACAUCUAGAGACACUAGAUCUUAGGGGUACCUGCAUUGAAAAACUACCGGCUAGCAUUACCCAACUGCAGAGAUUAGUGCGUCUUCUUGUCAGUAUUGAGGUAAAACUACCUGAUGGGAUUGGAAAUCUGCAGGCAUUGGAAGAGCUAUCAUCGAUCAGUUUGGAUUUUCAAACUGUCAAGUUUAUCCAAGGGCUCGGCGAUCUGACCAAUCUGAAGGUACUUGGAAUUAAUUGGAAGCACACUUAUGCAGGAGUACGUCGCGUGGACGUGGAAGACCACAAGGAAGCAUGUAUCUUGUCACUCUCCAAGCUUGUCACAACCCUUCGAGAACUGCAAUUCAUGCAUGAUGUUCCUGAUGACGCACUUUCAUUCAUGGCUUCGUUUGCCUCAUCUUUAACUCCACCACCCCUUCGGAGGCUCGUCUUUCACGAAGGUGGUGGAUCAAGUGUCGUGCCCCAUCAAAUCAUCAGCUCGCUAGUCAACCUGACCCACCUCAAUAUUGGACUAGUAAGCCAGGAAGGGAUAAAUAUCCUAGCAAGUUUGCCCAUGCUCCUCUCUAUUACUGUUCGCGUUUCCUUUGAAGAGGGUAGUUCUGGAAUCAGGUAUACAAUCAGCAGUCAAGGAUUCCAGCGUUUAGUCAAGUUUAAUUUCGACUGUUUUCAUGAUGGGGGGGGCGUUGGAGUUUGAGCCAGGAGCCAUGCCAAAGCUCCAAAGGCUCGAGCUGUACCUGGUGGCACGGGGUCAGUUCAAUUAUGAGCAAGGCGCCCUCGUCCUUGGGCUGCAGAAUCUGGCAAGCCUCAGACAUGUUGCUCUUGGUAUUAACUGUUAUCCAGCUACUCCUGAUGAGGUGCAGGAUUUGGAGGAUGACAUCAGGGUUGCAGCAGGCGCCCAUCCCAACCGUCCCGUGGUCCAGCUGGUCGGAAAACUAAAUGAACAUUGGAUGACUUAGGGUGCAGCAGGCACCCAGCUACCUAGAAGCACAAUGACCAAGUAAAUGCAUGGUGUGGAGAAUAAAUAUCAUUAUCAAUGAUGAUCUUUUUUUCUGUUUCAAGAGCACGUUGGAAUUAAACAAGGUUAAUUCGAUUUGUUUUCAUCUUAGUUUUUGCUUUAUGACAACAUGUGUGCGCAUGCAGAUUGGCCUCUCGAAUCUAUGGAGUGCUGAUAUGUGUUGCUUGAUAUGAUGGUGUUGUGUUGAGGUGGGUUUGGGAUGUGUGCUCGGAGCGAAGGCAUUUGCCCUUCGCCGGGCCAACGAUGCUGACGCCUGUUGGUGCCACAUCCCUCUCUAUUGACUAUGAAGGACUGACUACGUUAAGCUCUUCCUCCAUAUAUGGAUUGUAGGUUGCUAGGUAGUUUUGAGACGUAUGUUGAUUUUAAAAUCUUAUGUUGUUUAUCACUUACUGGAUCUGUUUCUUCUUUCUUUCUUUUAUAUUUCCUUUUGAUAAGGUUGUGUGUUGUUGCAUAGGUGGCUGGAAUCUAAGCUUUGUUCAUCCAAAAGAAGAUGAUAUAAAACAACCAGAAAGAAACAAGGGGGGGGGGGGGGCGGUUAAUCUCCUUCCAAGGGGAUUGGAGGGGAUUUUGACUGGUAUGGGAUGUUUUGCAGGAGGAUGUGCACCUCAACAUAAGUAAUAUGGAAUCUGUGGGUACACUUUUGGCAACAUAUCUUCAAACCACAUUCUAUGCAACAAUAAUCUUGUGCAAACCAUACAUAGCUAUGCCCACCAUUUCUAGAACGAUGUUCAAUAGACUACCAUAUGCAUAUGAACGCGCACGAUGGAUAUUAGACACAAAACAUAGUAGUAGUAUAACUUGCACAAAACUACAUUUAUGAUCUUUUGUAUUUGAGCCAGGAAGUUCUUUCAAAACAUAACCCACAAGAAAGCACGCACUGGUCUUGUUGUGCACUACACGUUAGGUGUUGCAAUUGCAUAUAAUCUCUUUUAUUUAUUUAGUUUGAACAACCGUGCAUGGCUAGGCACUUCCGAAAGUCUUCACUUCAAGUACUUGUCAAACCAGUCCAUCAUUAGACCAAGAGCUUGCUCAACAGUUUUGACAGCAAAAGGGUCGGUGGUAUUAUAUCUGCAAGCAAAUCCAUGUGCAACUCCUGGAAAGACCUUGGCGUAGUAGGGAAUCUGCAAACAACCAAUGCCACAAAAAUGAGCUUUUCCAACUGAUAUAUAGUAUCCUCUAUGACGGAAUCACUAGGAACUCACCUCUGUUCUAUGACGCAAUACACUCACAUACUGGUACACUAGUUUUGGCGGUGCGACUUCGUCAUAUUGAGCUCCAAGGAUCUCGAUUGGACAUUUAACCUCUGUUUUGAAUGGUCAUAUAGUUAGCAUACGAAAUUAAGCACUUAAGUUCAGUUCCAAAGACAUCUCAAUCGAUGCUGUCUGGGAGGUUGCAAACACAAAGAAAAGGAGCAAACCUUUCAUGUCAUCAGUAGUCACAAUGUAAGGAUGAGAAAUGGAAACUACUUUAACAUCACUGGUUUUCCCCAUCUCUACACUAAACUUUCCUGUCAGUUACGCGGCAAUAGGAGAUAAGAAUUUUAUGCUCUGUAUGUUGCCUGAAGAAGGAUUUUGGAAGCUGGAAUUUCACUCACCACCCCAGCAAUAACCUCCCACCCCGAUGGACUUUCCUUCCUUUUUGAAAGCAGCAAAGAGUGGCUUGGCGUCUUUGGCAGCUUUUACCUGCCAGAUCGAUCGGAUACUCAAAUCAAUAUAUUUUCAACUCAUGAUGCAAUGAGCAUAAGAUGAAAUUUGAAAGGGACAUGGAACAGACCUGGGAGUGGAGCUUGAUCCACUCUGAAAUGUUUUUACUUGAGUCUAAAUAAUCUCCAUUGAAGAAAUCAGGCACCACAACAAAGUAUCCAGCCUCGCUAACUUUAUCGGCUAUCUGUCUGCAUCAUUAAAAGAUCAAGAAAGGGAUGAACAAUAGCUAGUACAGAGAGGGAUUCUUGCGUCGUUGUACUCCAAACAAAAUGCAAUCUAUCUCAUAUGAGAAUUAACUUUCACCGGAUUGUCUUUUUUGGGAAAAAAAAACUGUACUGUAUUUUACUCUGUACAGAAGCACAAAGCAUUGUUAUGUUUUUUAAAAAAAGAUAGUCAAAUAAAAUUUGCUCUAGUUCUUCAAAGUCUCUAAAAUCAUCUGUUGAUAUUUAAAAGCAUUUUGCUAUGGUUAUGAUUGCGUUGCUACUUGCUACAAGCAUCAUAAGGGAGUACUAAGCAGGAAAAAUCGAAAGCAUGCCAGCCGAAUGAUCUAGUUCUUCAAAGUCUCUAAAAUCUGGAGAGAUGCUAGUUGACCAAGAACAGAGCAUUUUGAUCUACGAUAGUAAGCCAGAGUAGAGCAAGAAAGAACACAAAAUUUGGGAAUUAAAAGACCGUAGAUAUAUUUAUGUAGGUGCCUCGAAUCCUGAGAAAAUCAAUCAAAAAGUGGAGAAAAAUUUCCUGUCAAAACGUACGCCCAAAUUGACUAGAAACUGCAGAAGUGUAGUACUACGGUCGAAACACCAACCGAAAACAUCGGAGGCGAGGACGAUGGCGUGGCUUGAGCUUGCGGCUGAAGGACCGAAAGGGCGAUCAGAGGGGGGUGAAUGGGAACCUAUAAAAAUUCUCAACAAGAACAAGGCCUAUGUCCCAAAUACAACCCCAAAGCACACAACACGUUGUAUCGUCAAGAUGACGCAAGUCAACUCGUGACAAGCUCACCCUAGGAACGAUACACGUAUCAUAUCAUGACAAAUCUCAUGAUUUUCAGACUUUGCUUGCUUUUUUUACAAUUUAAAAAUCAUUCGGUCACACGUUCGUGAUCGUGUUUCCUGAACAAGAUGUUUGAAAUUUCUUUUUAUUUCAUGGGUCAGGUCUCAAAUUGGGUUAAAUAAUAUGAAUAUCAUUUUUCUACUCAUUUUAUUCUAUAAUUUGAAUCACUUGCAGUUCAAAUUUGACUUAUACCAAAAAUUUCCUUUAAAUACAAUUAAUUAAUUAAAUAUAGCAAACAAAUUCAAAAAUAUACCAAAUUUUAACAUGGAGUACCACAUGUUGUAUGUGGGGAGUAGAAAAAAUCUCAAGGUUAAAAGGGAAAAAAAACUUAUUAUUUGUCGAGUGUCAAAAAAACACUCGGCAAACCCCCCUCUUUGCUGAGUGUUUUUUUCUUGACACUCGGCAAAGUCCCUCUUUGCCGAGUGUUUUUUUUUGACACUCAGCAAAGCUCCUUGUUUGCCAAGUGUUUUUUCUUUGCCGAGUGUUUUUAGCUUGGCACUCGGCAAAGAGCUUGUUGCCGAGUGUCGAAAAAAACACUCGGUAAAUUUGCGGUUUCCGUAGCGAGAGUAGUUUACAAAAUCAGGCAUCAUGACGCAACAAUCAAUGAAAAUCAAGAAGCAGAAAUAUGACAGUUAUUUUGAGUAGUUUUUAACAUGAUCAUCUAAAGUUUGUCUCUUUCAUUGGCAUAGUUGGCCACUUCCUCGUCCGAGGCCACCAUUGAUCAUGCAUUCAUGCCUAGGGAAAUCCGGCCCAAGUGUACAGUCCAAUAGCCCAUAUGCAAAGAAAAUCCGAAUCGACUAAACCUACUGCGAUCCUAGCCGCCUCCGAUCUCCGAGAGGAUCCUCAGCAUGUUGCUGCACUGUUUGUAAGGGCGCUUUGCUUCACCCUACGGGUUUGGUGCAUAAUUCUCGAGCUGCAAUGUUCAAGUUUGCACAAAGAACGAGCACAUAUGCGAUGUAGCGGGGUGUGUAUUCACCUUAAAUAGAGGGCAUAUUUUAAAGUGUGUGGGAUCCAAUAUUGGUCAACUUGACAAGAACAGAUAUUCACUGCUGUGCAAAUUUUUUCCAUCUGGAUGUACGAAAAUAUUAUUCUUAUUUAUUUAUUCGAAACAGUCAUGUGCAGAUAAGACAUGUCUUCACUACAAGUAUUUGUGGAACCAGUCGAGCAUGUAAGCAAGAGCUUUUUCAGCGCUUUUAACAGCGAACGGGUCGGUGGUAUUGUAUCUGCAAGCAAAUCCAUGGGCAACUCUUGGGAAGAUCUUGACAAAGUACUCAAUCUGCAAGAGAGGUAAUGUCAUAUAAACGGGUGAGGUUCUGCCAAGAAAAAUUCACAUGUGCAGGUGCAUUGGUAUUGAGUGCCACUAAACCCAGCAAGAAGCCAAGAAACUCACAUCCAUUCUUUCACGCAAUUCUUGCUCGAACUGACGCACUUGUUCCUGCGGUGUGAUUGUGUCGUUUUGAGCUCCAAGGAUCUCAAUUGGCCAUUUGACCUCUGAGUUUUAAGUGAGCGCAGUUAGCACACGAACAGAAUACUAGUCAUACACAGUGUGCCUAAUAAGUAUGGUAAGAAACACACACCUUUCAUAUCAUCAACAGUCACAUAUGCAGGAUGAGAAAGGACAACUACUUCUGUAUCGUCAGUUUUUGCUAUCUCGGCGGCAAAUUUUCCUGGCAAAUAAUCAGAAAAAAGGUAGAAAUUAGCAUGUUUUAUGUCUUGCCUGAAGAAGAAUAUUGAAAAAUAAAAUUCCAGUAGGGCCAAGCUACUGAAUUGUAGUGAUUGCUGUCGAUUUCACUCACCCCCCCAGCAGUAACCUCCAACCCCAAUAGAUUUUCCUUCGUUUCUCAAAGAAGCCAAGAGUGGCUUGGCAUCUUGAGCAGCUGUGACCUGUAGGAUCGAUCGACAUUGCAAUCAAUUUAUUUGCAACUAAUGAUGCAAUGCAAGAUUUUGUUAAAGAUUCGUUAUGUUAUCAUUUGACUAGAAAUUGAAAUUAAUUAUCCCCGGUGAACAUGAACUUACUGGGGAGUGAGAUUUGAUCCAUUCUGAAAGGAUUUUACUGUCGUUGUAAGGAUCGCCGUGGAAGAAAUCAGGCACCACAACGUAGUAUCCUGUUGCGGCAACUUUAUCGGCUAUGUUUCUGCAUUAUUACACAAGCACUGGUACUAAUUAUAUUUUAACUAGCGAACAAGGCUGAAGUGCCAUGUCAUUUUAGUUUCUAAAACAGAGCCGAACAUCGUUUAAACAACUAAAUUAAAGUAGAUUGCCGCGGUAACGGCCUCUCUGCUGCUUUGGUCAGGGAUUUAUUUACUGGUAACUGGUUUAAAUUACUAGAAGUUUGAGCUGAAAUCAUUUUGAAAUAAAAUUGGGCCUAUUUUCUCGGUUUGUAAGUGUUUCUGAGAGGCAAAGCAAGCUGCCAUGUUUGAUGACAGACCUAUCCAUACCAGAACUACAAUCAAGUCUUCCAAAAGGCUAAAACUUCAUGUUUCCAGUCAUUAGUGCAAUAUAGUGUUUCAAUAAUGUGAGUGUAAGUAGAAAUAUAAAAAAAAACCAUACAUUGCCCAAACAAAAAACUCCAGUUCAUCAAGCUGAAAACAGCUGACUACACCAUGGAGCUUCCUAUGUGUUUUACUAGUUUUUGGGAAGCAAGGAUAUCCCUGUGUAUAAUCUCUUUAUACUUGUUAUUAAGUCACAAAAGUUUCAUCUUAAUGUUUCUAUCUGAUUCUAUUUCCAUCUUGUUUUUAAAUAAAAAAUCUCAUGUUCUACCAUGUUUCAGGAAAGGAAACGUUCACUUAUCAACUCUUAACUAUUGCCAUGCUCUGUUUUUCAUCUCAUUGUGCCUGUCCGGUUUUCAAUCUCCAACUUUAAAACUUUCUAAAAGACUACCUUCAACUCAGAACAAAACCAGGGUGCUUUUGGAUGAUGUGGCCUGGUUUUGUCUGCUGGUGUAUGCAUGUGUACAAGUAGUACACUGAUCAGUACAAAACAGCAAGCAAAAUACAAUAACUGCUGGGACAAUAUAAUAUAACAUCCUCUAAUUUCCCUUCUUCCACCUCUCUCUCCCCCUCAAAUUAAUUUUUUAGCAACUUCGUUCAUCAGCAUACUAGGAUUCCAUCAUUUCUUUGGGAAUCGCGUUGUUUCCUAUAUUUUUGUGCUGUAUUAGAAAUCGUAAGGAACUUGAAUUCAAGAACUUAAAACCAUUUUUUAUACCUCAGUAUAGGUGCCUCGAACCCUGAAGAAUAUUUGUCGAAAGAACAGAGAAUAUAUUUCAGUCAGACAAACCACAAAAAUAACCAUCAACCAAACUGAACGUAAAUUUGCACUAGAGGAGUGUGAAGCUGGCCGGCUGGACCAACCGUAGACAUCCGAGGCGAGGACGAUGGCACGUAUGGACAUGGAGGGGCCGGUGACAUAGGCCCUGAACCCCCCUGGAAGGUCGUCUACAACCUUGCCAGCUUCAACGCCGCGCAACGACAGGUCCGGCGGGUUGUCGAGGCACUGCGAGUGCUCGUCGUGAACGGUCGCCGCCGCGACUAGCACCACGGCGAGGCAGAGGAAGAGCAGUGCGGCGGAGCUCAUGGCGCUUCGACAGGAGGUUCUCUUGCUAGGUUGUCUCCACCGCUGCUGCGUUGCGUUUGUUUAUAUAGCACGAGGGCCGACGGCAUGGUAGGCUAGGUUGCCUCCACGUCGCCGUCCGGCGGCCGGCUGCUUUUUCUACACGAAAGCGAGCGGAACGGAAGCUGAAAGCGCUCGAUGAAUUUGAGUGAAAUACUCCAUGUGGUAUCUCUGGUGUACAGUUCAUGUACUACCACUAGCCUUUAUAAGCCCUCCUGUAGUUCUGCUCUUAGGUGGUCCAUUAAGCAAAGGAUUUGAGCCCUUGGACGCGAAGCUCCUCGCCGAUCUAUCUCUUGUUUCUACGGCAAAAGUACAUGGAAGGCUAUAACUUUGGCCGUGAUUAGGACAUCAAUAUGAGUUCUGACUUUAGGUCGUCUGACAAAAAAUAUGAGGAAUUUUUGUAAGAGGGGGUGUUUGGUUUCUCGAGCUAAAGUUUAGUUCGUGUCACAUCGAAUAUUCGGAGGCUAAUUAGGAGAACUAAAUAUAAGUUAAUUAUAAAACUAAUUGCACGUAUAGAGGCUAAACGACGAGAUGAAUCUAUUAAGCCUAAUUAAUCCAUCAUUAAAGCAACACAUUGUCAAAUCAUGGACUAAUAAGCUUAAUAGAUUCGUCUCGCCGUUUAGCCUCCACUUAUGUAAUGGGUUUUGUAAAUAGUCUACGUUUAAUACUUCUAAUUAGUAUCUAAACAUUCGACGUGACGGAGGCUGAAGUUUAGGGUGAGGAGCCAAAAACCCCGGAAGUUUAUGGUUCGUUCGUUGACAUUUGUGGCAAUGCUGUCCUUCCAGGCACAUUGACAUUUAUAUUUCGUACAUAACUAGCAAGAUGGAGAUGGCCCGACGCAAUCUGUGUGGCUAGUUUUAGUACCCUUCAAUGCAAAUUCUCAUUUUUUUCCUCAAGCCAAAUUAAGUAAAAUUUAUUCGAAAACAAUUACACAAAAGGUGCAGUCCCAAUGAAUUCAUGCCGUAAGAAACGAUUUCUCGCGCAGCUUCUGUUUGGCAACUUCCGAUGCCCAUCAGCACAAUGUUGAGUCUACGGCGCGCGCUGCAGCGCCCCGCGGCGCACGACGCGGAGGGUGGGUCUCAUGUGACCCCUAUUUUAAGUACAGGGCUGGAUACCGAGACGUAUCUGACAUGAAAGUUAUAUCACAGGACGGGCAUAGUCUACGUAAUAAGAUAGUAACUUGUCGAGGAUCAGGAAAAGUACUUGUAGCAAUCAGAGUAGGACUCGCCUAGUCGAAUCCGACUAGUAUUCAUGUAAACAAUUGACCUUAACCCUGCCCCCAGCAAUAUAAGGCGAGGUAGGGAUCCUCUCUAAAGUAAUUCAAUCCAAUCAACACACAGGAUGUAGGGUAUUAUGCAAUCUAGCGGUCCGAACCUAUUUAAAUCGUGUGUCUGUGUUCACUUUCGAGUUCCUAAUCUCGGCGAGCCCCGUUAACUAAAACACUACUUCGGGCACCCCCUCGGUGGGUUGCCGGGUCUAAACACCGACAACCCCACCAUGUGCUGGCCCACGCAUUUUUUUUUCUUUUCAAUUAUUUUUUCUAUACCAAAUAAAUAUUGUAUAUACAUAUAAAUUUUGCAUAAUUUUUUUAACAACAUUCUCUCAAAAGUUAUGACAAAUAUUAUGCGUAUAAGUUAUGUAUAUCAUGAAAGUUGUAUUACGAAAUUUAUCACCUAAAUUGUUGUUAUGAAAAAAGUUAUGCGUACAAAUUGUGCAUAUAGGUUACAGCUUUCUAAAAACACUAGGAUCGUGCCAGUGCGUUACUACGGGCAACAAAUAUUUAUAUUGAAAUACACAUAGUAACUUGCAACAUCAAUCCAAAACAAGACAUUCAACACUCCAUUUAUGGGUUUAACGUACUUUCCAAUUAUAUUGUUCUGUUAUAGUCUCAGCUGUGAAUUUAAUGAGCUAGAAAUCAAGCUUUCUUUUAAGUUUCACGGAUUUCAGACCGAGUUGAGUUGGACUACCUUUUGCUCAAACUGUGAUUGUCCCUAUAAAUUAUUUUAAUUAAUCUGUUUGAUAUGCAACUCAAAAGAAUAGAGCUAAUAUAUGUACUUAGCAUGGCCAUCCUGUUAAACAUAAUUGUUGCCAUGAAAAUAAUGCAUUAUGUAUUACUCCCUAGCUACUUUGUAGUGGUCAAUAUCAAAUAUCUUCUUGACGACCUGACAGACUAAGUGGCCAGAUGGGAUGAUCUUCAGUCCAUCCGACAACGAAAUUUUAGAUCUAUUGCCAUUAGCAAUAUAUAGGCUUGGCAUAUCUCAUGCAUUCACAAAGAAAUCUGGACUGUAUAAGAGUACCUUCCUUGAAUGAUCCACUGAGCGAUUAUUACUUGUGCCAUGCAUUCACAAAGAAAUCUGGACUGUAUAAGAGUACCUUCCUUGAAUGAUCAUUACUUGUUCAACCUGCUUAAAGAAAAUGAUUAUUUGGCCUAACAGUAAGGUUACAACACGAAAAUAAAGCUAACAAGUUGGAGGUAAAUUCAGUUAGGAAAUUUGAGAUGCCGUAGAUUUAGGUAAUUGUAAACUGAUCAAUCCUCAGGUUGGAGACAACUACUGUGCAAUUCAGGUAAUUGUAAACUGAUCAACUACCAAUUGUUCAGAUGCCGCAGAGGUCCAUCUAGCAGUCAGGUAUUUUAGUCCAUCUGACCACAAGAAUGAAACUCACCUGGAGCCCUGGGUGACAGCGUCCCCGUUCUCGUGCUCCUGGCGGCACGCCGACAGGGUGGCGUAGGCGUUCACCUCUUGACCAGCGCGCUAGGCCUUGACCUCUUGAUGUUCAAUAUCUAGGUCUGACUGUAAAAAAGAUCAAUAGAUAUAUUAGAUAUAUCGGUGUUGUCAUUACAUUACAAUGGUAAUCUGAUACCUUACAUGCAUACUCUGACAUGUAGUUUGUAGCAUUAGGCUUAUAAUAGUUCUCCAUCAAUAUUAGUGGGUCAUAAAACUGAUAAAAAUGGAGAUUAAGGAGUACUGCACACUAUCUUCAGUAUAUAUAAAGAACAUGAUAAUCUGAAACUUCCCAACUGAACAUCAUCGCUGACUGAUCAAGUUCGUUACUGAAUCAUAAACUAUGAAUGUGAGGCCUGUGUCUCUGAAGCAAGAUCGCUACACAUCAUUGCUGGCUGAAACCAGUCAAUCAACAGAGUCUAGCACAUGGGAAAAAAAAAGCAAAGAGUAAUAACUUGGUGAAUAACAAAACAUCGUCAGAAAAGAAGAAAAGAAAAAGGAGCGGAUGAAAUUCUUAGCAGAACAAUAUAAUGUAUGGAAUACUCCAUCAGUGUACUUUCAUCAUGGUCGACAUGUUCAAUACAUAAGCAUUUCCAUGUCUCGAUUUUAUCAGUCUAGCUCGUAUUUCACUCACAUAAGGGGAUUUUUUACCAAGCAAAAGCAGCAAAAGACCAUGAAACCUUAUUAUUACUGACAGGAUAUGAAAAUACCAUAUGUAUGUGGGGAAAAGGAUGCAGACUCCAAAUUGGUCCCUGCCAUGAGCUGUGUAGCCACCCAGCCAUCCCCAUAUAUUUUCUUCAGGUUUGAACACAAUACUGGUUGCUGCACUUCCCAGGAUGGGUACUUGUGGAGGCCAUGCUAAUUAGCGAUCAAUACCUGUUGCCUGCACGAACAUAAUCCCAAGCUUUAAAAAUGAUAUUUUCAUAAAAUUGAGUCAGAAGCAGGUCUAUAUAAAAAAUGUGUAACUGACGUACAAGUGAUUUGCUUGGCUAAUGCAGGGAGCCCAUGUAUGAUAGCGAAACAAAAUUAUAGCACUUUGGAAUUGUGCGUUACAAUACAUGAAAAACAAUUAUAGUACAUGCUCAUGCCUUCAUCGAAGACAUUCUCGUGCCACUUAGUUUUUUUAGGAGAGAUUGAAAGCACUAAGAAUAUUUUUCACAAAGUUUAGUACUUAAAACUUCCAAUUGAUAAAUUUCAGCAAUCUUGGUAACAAUCGCUCUUCCAAAUACUAUUGUACUGUUAGUUGACCAUUGUGCCCUAAUAGUUAAACUUCCCCAUAAGACCAUAGUAACAGCAAGUAAAUAAACAUGCAUGUAAUCUUUCAUUGUGGCCAAAACUCCUUGAAUUCUUAAAAAAAUGAUUGGCUCUGAUGUCACACCCGGUUUUAAAACAAAACCAAGUGCUAUCUAUAUGUAUGUCAGGAUCUAGUUUCAUAUAUUGUAACAUCAUUAGUGAAUAACAACAACAGUAUCACGUAAAAAGAUAAAAAAAAAGACUUACAAGACUAUCAGAGACACACAGCUUAAAUAUUGGAAACGUAGGCUCCAAACUUCACAGGCACUCAACUGGGGGUUGCGUACGCCUAGAACUCAGCACCAUCUUCACAAUGACUUCAUAGCAGCUUCAUCUUCUAAGCAACGUUGAUUAUAGCAAGGGUGAGCACAUGUCGUACUUAACAAGUGUGGGGAAGAUAUGAAUGCAAGGUUUAAACAAGGAAAGGCUGACUGGUUGACUGCAUUAAGCAUUUUUAGUUGGUCAAAUUUUAUUAGCACCUGAUUACUAAGGUAUAAGUAUGUACCAACCCACAAUUAAGCAUAAAGCACCAACAUUAUCCAAGGAACCAUAAUUUAUUCUCAUCUUUAAGUUCAAUUAUCAUGUGAGGGUCCAGGCCAUUCUUAACUGUGAGCACGGCUGAUAUAUCAGUUUUACACUCUGCAGAGGUUGCACAUCUUUGCCCACAAGUCGUGUAAAAGUUCAAAAGAGCUUUAGACCCAAUCAUGCUGUGCUGAUCAGGCACAAUACUACACUUCCGAGGUGUGAUUGCAUAGGAACGCUACAAGGCCUUUAUAAAGAUUCUCAAGUAAGUGGUAACCCGCUAAGGUUUUCGGAUCAGUAGUGUGCAUAAACCCCUCUCAGGACUGCGAAGCUUCCAUAAAGCAGAUCAGUCUAAGGGGCGGGUUAUACACCAUCAACCGCCACCCCUUUUACCCUUUCGGUAAGAUUACCCCGGAUUAGAGUCUCUAAUUAAUUAGCUAAGAUAAGAGCCACGAUAGUUCUCGUGGUUGUACUGUUUUUCUGGGUGGUUCUCCAUGUUCCGAUUAAAUCAAGUGAUCUUGUAUUAAUACGCGUAUAGCAUAAAUAAAAGUCAUGAUUAAUAUUUAAGUUCAUUAAGAUCAUCAUAACCAAGUAUAGCAGCUAAGCAUAGCUACCCAACAGAAUCAUAAACCUAGGUUGACAAGGAAUGAUUAUAAAAAUUAGGCAAACCUUAAUAGGACCCAUCAAAUUAAAUGCAGGCAUAUGCAAUAGUGAUUAAUAAAGUUAUUGGGACAAAAGCACAAGAACACACUUACUUUUCUCCAACGACAAGUUACUCUUAUUGCUCUUCGGUUCUUGCUCUCUUGAAACUCUUACUCUUCAAAGCUUCUGAACAACGAUCCUUCUACUCUAAGCAAACAUCGGCAACAAACAAACAAGUACAACUUAAAACAAUAAAAAAAAGACUUUAAAAAAGCGUACUAAAGGACAAGGCUUGAUCUAAGGGAGCGCUAAGAACGAAACUAUCGAGACGCUUGAUUCAUAAAAGAAAUAAAGACUAUAUGUUUGUUUCAUGUUAAUUAAAUAAAAUAUGCACAUAGGUUAUUUUAGAGAAAUACCCUAUUUGGAAUUAAGCAAGUUACAUUCAAUUAUUAAAAAUACGGUAAACUUAAUUAUAUUUUAUUUUAAAAUAUUCAAGUACGAGUUAUGUCAAUUUAACAAUUAACUUUAAAAAGAGUAUAAGACAUCCAAUCCAAUAACUUUGUAUUUCGUGUUAAACAAGAUUAUUGAAAACACGGUAAACUUGAUUAUAUUUUAUUUAUAAAUAUUCAAACGCGAAAGGUACGGGCUAAACAAGAUUAUAGGGACCUAAACGCGAUUAAUCGUAGACUACAAGGGUUAGCAAGAAAGAUUACCAAGACACAAAGAAUAGAGCCGCGAAAAGCUGAAAACUCGGGGUUAGAUCUGCAAAAGGUCAAGGCUUGGAUUAGAUUGCAAGGAUCUGGAAAGUUUGAGGUUUAUUCUGUGAAACUGCAAGACACAAGAAGGAGCAUAAGAAUUACAGGAUUUUCAUGGGCUUCUUCGCAAAACGGAGCCUUAUCUUCUUCUUCCAGCUCCUGCUCGCUCCGCUCGUGUGGCCGAUCAGAUUAUCGGCGGCGGUUGCUGGCCGGGCCAAGGGGGCAGGGCGCGCGCGGCUGCGGCGGCGGUGGCGCGCCGGCGCAGCAGGCGGCCAGGAAAGCAGCGCAGGCAGCGGCUCGGCGCAGGGGCAACACAGGCGGCGGCGGGCGCGGUUAAGCAGAGGCGAGAAAAGGCGGCGGCGGCGAUUUGAGAGGCGGCGGCGCUUGGUGGGGCGAGGAGGCGGAAAAGGGUGGGGAAAGGGGCUCUGGUGGCGGCGGGGCGUUUUAUAGGGGCGGAGGAGGGAGCUGAGGCGGCGGCCGGCCAUAAAUGGCGGCGAUUUGGUGCGGGCGGCCGUUUCUGAUGGGGAGAGGAAACGAGGGGGCGAGGCGGCGCGUGCGCGGGGGAAGGGGAGCGGGUGCGGGACGUGGAGCAGCGCGGGAGAUGGAGCGGUGCAGAGGACGCCGGGGAGGAGCCGCGACGCGGCGGCGGCCGGUAGAGAUCGAGCAGCAGGAGCGGUCGGAUGAGCGCCUGGCCUGAGGAAGAAGAAAAACCUGCAGGUGGGGCCCACCUGGCAGUGGAAGGGAGAGAGGAGGAGAGAUGGCGGGCCAAGCUGGGCCGGAAGCUGGGCCACGGGGGAGAAAGAUGGGAGUUGGGCCGGUGCAGGGUGGAAAGAGGGAAAGGGAGGUGGGCCUGUGGGAAAGGCCAGAUGGGCCGGGCGAACGGAAAAUAAAAGUGGACCGCGGUCUGGUUGGGCCGAUUUGGGUCGGGCCCAAGGCUCGGCCCAAAAGGAAAAGAAAAGAUAGAUUAUUUUCAGAAAUUAUUUCACGUGGGAAUAUAUAUCCAGAAAAUUCUAGAUAAAUAAUUUAAACCACGAAAAAUAUUCUGAAAAUCCCAAAAAUUUAAGAAAAAAUCCCAUGAGGAAUGUAAAUAAAAUAUUUGGAGCUCAUGAAAAAGGAUUUUAGAACUAUCCCAAAAUUGGAUUAAGCUCAAGAAAAAAAGAGAAUAAAUUCCAGUAAUGGCUGAAAAAUUCUCAGAAGGGUUUAGACAAUGUCUAAAUGCAUUUUUGAAACUUUUUUACUCAAGAAACAUCAAGAUGCAACGGCAUGAAUGCACAGAUAGAAAACAACAACCUUAUUUAAUUCCAAAAACAAAUAAUUAUUUUUCCUAUACUAAAUUUCCUAUGAAGAAAAUAAAUAUUAGGAAAAAUUUAAUUAUAAAAAAUUAUUGUUUAAUUAUUUCUUUUUAAUCAUAUUCUAAAAUUCAAAAAUUUCAAAGGUAUGACAUCUAAGUACUCUAAUGAAACCAGUUUAGAAAAUACAGUUCAGUAACCUGCUCUUAUGAAGACUGCAUAUGAAAAAAAUAGUACCUUCCGAGGGUUACACCUACAUAACAUCAGUGAGAGAUACUUAGCUUCUAGCAUACACAUGUUCAGAAGCAGUUCUUUGCAGGCCAAUAAGGCAUCCAUUAAAAUACUUAGCACCAUGCAUUGCUUUGUGUCAGGUUGUCCCGGUACAAAAUAGAAAAAAAUAUUUUUCAUUUAGCAAACAUGUCAGAGAAGCAAAAUUCAGAAAUGAUGUGCAGUGUCACCAACAGGUCAAAAAAGUAAGGACAAUCUAUAAUUGUGGUCAUGAAAUUAUGCAUCAUCCGCGAACACAAAAGCCAGUCAUCAACUAUUUACAUGGUAACCCUGAAUUAUUUAGAUUUACUUCCUACAUGCAUAAAAAUAAACCUCUCAUGAUUUCGUUGGACAUCACAUAUCAAAAGGGAGAAAAAUGAAACCUAAGACAAUUGAAUCAUAAUGAUUUUUUUCUAUGUGGAAGUAGAUAAUUUCCUUAUCUUUCAGACAGCCACUCCAGAAACUAAUCAUACAAUCAAAUUUAGUUAGAAAUUUAGAGCAUGCUAGCACAGAACAAUAGGAGCUAUGAAUUUACACAUGCUAGCUGUAGAUUGUCUAGAAAAAUCGAAAACCAAAUACUUGAUGCCAGCAGAUCUAAAGAAUCAUUGUGUUUUAGGAACACCCACCGAUCGGAGCAGGCAACAACGGAGCUGCCUUGGGGCCGCCAUCGACUUGGAGCUCCUUGUUGAGCCGCACAGAGAAGGAGCGGCAGCGGCGUCAUCGUGGGGGUGUGUUGAGCGCAGGGAAGGGCCAAUUUUGAUUCUGGGUAGGAUGACGUACAAACGUAGGGCAAAGCGGAUGGGAGGGAGCAAUUUUCCCGUGCGUGGAGAGAAGACUGAUUGAUCCAAGGGUGGAGGCUGUGUUCCGCAUAGAGAACCGUGAAAUGGAGGGCCGAGGUUGCUUGGAGCGAGGGCCAUCGGGCGACGACGGUCAUUUGACGGACCAUAGAAACGUUGCCCGUUUGGUUUUUUAGGAGUAGAGAAAAUUCGAAGUUAUUCUUACAAAUUGUACCUAAAAGUUGUACACCUAAUUUUUGUGCGCUAUUGAAGUUGUGCUAAAAAGUUAUCUCAUAAAAAAUUAUAUUAUAGAGUUAUGCAUCGUAUUUAUAUGUAUAAGUUAUGAUUUCCACAAAUGGAAAGUUGUGGGAUUUAAAACUUUCCCAAAAUGGAAUGUUUGGGGGGAAGGAAGGAGCUGUCUAGAUUCGCUCGCCAGGAGGGCUCCUAGUGCGCGAGCGCUAAUUAGCACUGCGCGCCUAUCAGCAUGUUAUUUUUUAAACAAACUGGGCAGGAGAGCUGCCGAUUAUAUUAAAAAGAAGAUGAAACCCGGGCAAUACAACUAAUGGAAAAAAAUAACGAGUUGAAUUGGGACAUCAACACACGUUGAACUCAACUCAACUAACGAAACAACUCAUGCCGAUUCGAUUGAGACAUCGACACGAGUCGCAACAACUCUAACUAGUCAGAUUGGGAUAUCAACACAGGCCGCACAACGUCAUCACACCACUCAACUCAAACUUAGCACCACCACCACCACCACCACCAAGAACUCUUCCGCAUUCUUGGAGAUCCAGCCCCACUUCCAACUCUUCUGCAUGUUCUUCUGUGUCAAGCCGUAGCCUAAGAGGGAGCACACAGUAGUCGGAGGGGUUGGAAUCCAAAUGAGGGAGAAGGUGAAGGGCCUCUAUUUGGAGUACGAGUUGAUUGACUCGCAUUCUGGGUGGAAAGAGAGGUGGUGCUAUAUUGGCAACUAUGAGCCCAAACUCCCUAAGGUGACAGGCCACCGCCCGACGUGGAACAAUAGGUGGCUAGAUGUGCCAAGUCACAGAGAUUAUUUGCAACUACCUGACCUUCUUGAUAGAAUUGCCAGAUUGAAACAAUAAGGUCUAACGAGAGUUGGGGUAGCCUUCAGCUUCAUAAAGAGGCGAGGUAAGCCCCUGCAAUUGCGGUGCACAUGGGGCUACGACUACUUGAGCCCCAAUGAUCCAUCCCGGAUGUCACCAAAAGAACUCACCAUGGAUGAGAUCAUGGAGCAGUUCAGGUGCUUGUUCAAGCAUGCCAGCAAGUGCCUGUUCAAGCAUGCCAACAAGACCCCAACGAUUGUGCAGGAUCAUUGCACUGCCAACCCACCAAGCAAUGUAAGUACCCGUGGCCACAGCCCUCAAGUACUAAUUGUUGUAUCUAUUGAUGUUCUGACUUGUCUUCCUAUGCAGGAAGAUGUACACUUGUUUUGCUCUGCUCCUCCUCCUCCUGGAUCAAAUGACUCUGAUGCCGCUCCACACGUACACACGGCUACAAGUGUAUAGAGAGAAGUCGAGGGGGAGUAAAAGGAAAUUGAGUCUUUCAGCAGCUCCUACUCUGAAGCUACUAAAGAAUUCAUGCUCAAAGCCCGGCCAUUAGACAAGGCUGGGUCUUCCUCCGGGUCACCAAAGCAUGCGGCUGAUGAUCUGGAGGCUAGACUGGCGGCACCGCCAAAGCGACGCUCUGCUCUUGCAGUGUUUCUUGCUCGCCGUUGAGUUUUUUGAGCUUCAGUUUCUUUUCCGACGAUGUUGAUGGUGAGCUUAUCCUACGAGAUGUCAUCUCGGUGACGUUCAUGUCAUGGAUUCCUUUCUUGUUGCUCUUCAUCUUCUCCUUCUUGCGCAUCAACAAGGGUGAAGAGUUCCCGCUCCGGAGAAUAGCUUCCUGAACUUAACGUGAUGACCUCUGUGGAGCCAUCUUUUUUGUAGAUGGGAGACAAAAGAAGUUCCCUUCUAGUACAGGAGGGUAUCAAGGUAGGCAACAAGGUGUGACUCGUCAUUCUUUGCGAGAGCAGGUGGCUUCAUGUUGGCCCAGUAGAUGAAUCUGUCUUGUGGAGUUGAGGUAAUCACAAGGCCUUGUUGUGGGUCUGAUAAUGGAGUCCUCUCAUCCGGAUUCGAGUAGCAGUAAAGGUCCUCGAUCCAAUCCAUGUUGAAUUGUGAUCUGGAUAGGGUAGCUUGAUAGACAAUACCCGUGUUUCGGAGUCCGAACGCGAAUCGACUUGAGUCAUAGACCGAUUCGCAUGAUGGCUUAAGCGCCGGCUCAUGAAAACCAGUCCGGCUAGUGGGAGAAGUUGAGCUGUACUCGGACUAGUCCCCCCAGCCUCUGACUAAGUCAAGAAUUGAAAAUUCGCUGAAUUUCUCGACGAGAUCCUCCAAAGCUUGGCGCUGGAGGUUGAUGGUAUGCUGUUUCUUCUCUACGACCGACACAAUGUGGCGGUGGAAGUUUCCAACACCAUCUGCAACGCAAACCCAGGAGCUGAAGACGAACGUCGCGUCUGCUUUGAACGCGAUGGUGGACUUGAUGAUGACUUGGGCCAUCGAGUUCGUUAGUGGAUUCUCAGCGAGAGCCCUUAUUUCGUGUGCCAGCUAUCGGUGUUUAGACUCGGUAACCUACCGAGGGGGGUGCCUGAGGUGGUGUUUAGUGCGUGGGGCUCACCCAGAUCAGGAACUGGAAGGUGAACUUGAACACAUAAUUUAGACAGGUUCGGGCCGCUAGAUUGCGUAAUACCCUACGUCCUAUGUGUUAGUUGUAUUGAAUUGCUUUGGAGGGGGUCUCCACCUCACCUUAUAUUGCUAGGGGCAGGGCUACAGGUCGUUUGUUUACAAGAAUACUAGUCGGAUUUGACUAGUGAGUCCUACUCUAAUUGCUACAUGUAGUUACUUAAUCCUUGACUAGUUCUUGUCCUCCACGUAGACCACGCUGUUCUGCACCGUAGUCUCCAUGUCUGACACGUCUUGGUGUAUAGCCCUGUAUCUAGGACUGUCCAAACCUUCUAGUGGGCACAUAGAUAUAUGUACAACAAGCACAGUGAAGAUCUAACGAACGCCCACCCGGGAAGGACCCCGUCAGAGUAGGCGCACCUUGGGUUGCCCUAGGCUCGGCAAGAACAACACAUGGGGUUGGAAAAGUAGGGCAAAGAGGAAAAAAGGUAAAAGUAAAAGAUAGAUUAGUUUUUGAUCAGUUGUGGCCCUUUAUAUUUAUAGUGAGGGGAGGUCUUGCCCCGUUGGAAGUCGAAACCCUAACAAAUCUCAUGCAAAAAUACAACUCCUACUCGGACUCUACAGGUCCAAACCGGUCCGACCUAUCUCCUCGGGGGCAGAUAUUCCCGAGGUCAUAACCCUCUCUUCCGAACUUCAAAUUGGACGUUCUAUAUAUGAAUUUUGAUCUACUCAACAAGAGAUACACAAUGGUGAACUCCAAUUUGUAUUUGUAGGACUUUGAUCAAACUGGUCUGACCGAUUGGAAGACCGGUUCAAAAACCUACUUGUCCAGAUCUGCUAAUUUUGACCAUCAAUAGGUAAUAAUUAAGAAAAUAUCAUUGAGGUAAGAAUUAAGAAAAUAUCAUUUCCCUUCUCUCAAAUUUCAUUUUAUUUGUGUGCAUGUGUUACUAAUUUUGUGUGUGUUAUUUCACUACUAUGGAAUGGACCUUUCGUCCACUCCCUUAGUACCGGGUGCAUUUGAAUCCGGUACUAAUAUUAGCAUUAGUACCGGCUCCAAAUUUGGAAUCCCCCGAACCCUCCACCCAGUACUAAAGGUUUCCAUCUACGCGCCUAGCCCCCUUAGUGCCUGUCCUUAUCCUCAGCUCCCUCCGCUCCGCUUCCCUCAUCCUCAUCUUUUCUCCUUCUACUCCCUCUCCCUCUCCAGGCCACUAGCCCCCUCCCUCCCUCCCCUCUCCUCCCCCCUCCACUCGCCCCUUACCUCGUGCCUGAGGCGAGGAGCAGCGGUAGGGUGAGGCGCAGCGGUGGCCAUCGGGGCGCGGCAGGGAGCGGCGACGAGGUGAGACGCGGCGGCAGAGCGGGCACGGAGCAGCUGGCGGGCGGGAGCGCAGCGGUGGCGGAGCGGCGGGUGGGUGGCCAGGGGUAGCGGGGCUGGCGGAGGGCGGCAACGGCGGGACAGGCGGAGGGCAGGGGCGGGUGGGGGGUGCGGGCGGGAAUUUAUUUUUUUUUAAUUUUUUAAUACCCUUUAAUACCGGUUAUCUCAACCGGUACUAAAAGUCCCACUUUAGUAUCGAAUUGCCAGUACCGGUUGGACAAUCGGUACUAGAGGGGUUAUCGACCGGUACCAGAGGUGUUAUCCCUAGUAGUGUUCUUAUAUAUUUGAAAACGGAUGCCGAUUACUGCCGUGCUUUGGUCUGCCAACUAGGCAUUCUUAAUAGUCAACAGGAUUAUUCUGUUUCGUGUGUAGGGGAACUAGCAUCCUAACAACCGUUGGUGGCUUACGGCUUUGGCUUGGCUGUCAAUCAAGCGCCGCUUGGGUCACGACAAUGGCAGUAAGGUCGUGGUGUCUACCAAGUAAAACUACGUAUACAUUCCCUCCGUUCUAGUGCAGAUGUGGGCGUACACAAUAUUAGGCUAUACUGGUGUUAAAAAAGACCAGUAUAAACAUAUCCAAUGAUCGAGAUUAAUUGUAUACUACUAAAAACUUCACUAGUGGUAUGGAUAGUAUGCGUGAGUAGUAUAUGUGGUAUAAGGGUAUUAUGGAAAAAGAAAUAUAAAUGGCAUAUACAUAAUAUAUUUUUCUUGUUCUUUGAGAUGGUAAUAUAUCUCUCAUUUAGUAAUAAUUCGUAUGGUCCAUCAAUAUUUAGUAAUAACUAUAUUAGCAUUUGCCUAUACCAUAUACUACUGAGUGGUAGUAUUGUGUACCGUAAAAAACUUAUUUUUGAACAUUCUUGUCACAGGACGUUUUAAUUGACUUCAAGCAUGAUGUCCUCCAUCGACCAUCAUGUCCUAUUCUUUGCUCCGAGUCGUGUAGUUGUGCUUUUAAGAAAAAGGUGCUUGUGUGUUUUGCUUUUCGCGGUCUAAAAGUUUAGAUAGAUAUUUUGUACCGUAGUUGCUCAUCACUCCAAUUAUGUACACUUCUUCGCGCGUUAUUUCAUUUUCAAUCUUGGAGUCGCCGCUGCCGACCUAGAGAAUGGACUAGGGUGGCUGGCCUAAGGGUUUGGAUUCGAGAUGCUAAACUUUAGCAGGGUCACAUCGGAUGUUCGGACGCUAAUAAGAAGGACUAAAUAUGAGCUAAUUAUAAAACUAAUUGCAGAACCAUGUGCUAAUUCGCGAGAUGAAUCUAUUAAGCCUAAUUAUGGAUUAAUUAGGCUUAAUAGAUUCGUCUCACGAAUUAGACUCCAUCUGUGCAAUUAGUUUUGUAAUUAAACUAUAUUUAAUACUUCUCAUUAGUAUUCAAACAUACGAUGUGACACGUGCUAAAGUUUAAGGGGUUCACCCCCUUAAUCCCACCCUGCUGGGAUCAGCCUCCAUGGGGGCGACAGAUGCCACUGCCUAGGCAUGGCGGUGGCUGUUGCUGUAUCCCAGCGUUUGCAGGUAUACCGUAUCCCUGACAACAGGUGUGCGCAUGCAGAUUGGCCUUUCGGAUCUAUGGAGUGCUAAUAUGUGUUGCUUGAUGGUGUUGUGUCGAGGUGGGUUUGGGAUGUGCGCAUGCCGGGCCAACGAUGAUGACGUCUGUUGGUGCCACAUCCCUCUCUGGACAAUUAGACAGCCCCGACCCCUUCCCCUACCACCUGUGUUAUCAGUUCUUGCAGGUGUAAACCUUAUCUUUUGUUGAUUAGGUGAUGGCCGAGCCCAUGGCGUCGUGUCCCUCCCUCGCGGUGACACUUUGAAAGAACUCGUGCUUCAUCACAACGUACUGCUAAUUCCAUGGUUUAAGAGAAGGGCAGCAACUACUCAAGGGAAUGCAUGUCAGAUCAACAUGUCAUUUGAGUCGGAUGUUGUUAGGGAUUACGAGUCAUAUGCUGUUGAUUGGUUGGCAAAGACCAUGUGGUCUUCAGAUAUUUGUGAGAUGCUUUAGAUGCACUGUUCGCCACCUUUCUUUCGUAUGAGGAUGAUGGAGUUUUGGGGAUUUUGUGGUGUAAGAGAAUAGGAGUGACUACGUUAAGCUCUUCCUCCAUAUAUGGAUUGUAGGUUGCUAGGUAAUUUUGAGACGUAUGUUGAAUUUAAGAUCUUUUAUUGUUUAUCACUUACUGGAUCACUUUCUUCUUUCUCUCUUAUAUUUCCUUUUGACAAGGUUGUGUGUACUCCUGUUGGGGGAAAAUAUUAACAACCUCCUAAUGCCGCUUAAAGCGACAGUCAUGAAGGCCCAGGCCCACCUGCGGUAAUUACGAUUACAGCCGACCUAGUAAAGGCAAAGAACGUCCCACUCCGUCUCACCCGACCUAGGGCCUCGGGGUCGGACAAUCCCGACCCCUCGAAGGAGGGACUCUGCCUCGCCCGACCGUGGUCCCAGGGUCGGGAGCGCCCAACCCCUCGCCGCAAGGCUCCGCCUCGCCCGACCGCGGUCCUAGGGUCGGGAGCGCCCGACCCCUCGCCGCAAGGUUCCGCCUCGCCCGACCCAGAGAACCGGGGUCGGGAGCGCCCGACCCCCACCACAGAAACCCCGUCUCGUUCGACCCCGGGCACGGGGGUCGAACUCACUCGGGUCCACAAGACGGAUAUUUGCCUCGGGCCACUGGAGGAUCAGGAUAACGAUCUCGUGGGUCCCCCUAUCGACCUCGCCAUAAAUGCGUCGCGGGCCUGUCAAGCCAAAAGGGAGCGGCGUCCCCGACGUAACCAGUCCCGAAUACCGGUGCGUGGCGCAAAGUACUCAUGAGCUGCGCCGAACAACACAGGGGGGCGCAUCGCUUGCUCUCGCGCCCCGUGCUCCCAACGGCAGUGUCAGGGAUGCGACGUCCGGGUCUUACGGUAAUCGGUGGGGCAACAGAACCGGACCUCCUCCUCGGCGGGCACGGAUGCCGAGGCUGAGGCUCAUCAUCACGCUCGACGGCGACGGCGACCAGGGAGAUCAUCGACAAGAUCCGGAAGGAAUCGCCCUCCCUCGCCGGACGCGCUGACAGGGACCGGAUGCCGGAGCAAGAGCGGCGGCCUUGGGGCCCUCCCCUUGUAUUAUUUUUCUACUUAGCUUAUCCUUCCUGCUUCUUCUCCUGAGGUCCAGCUCAACUGUAACCCCGAGCUCCCUCUUGCGCUAUAAAAAGAGGACCGGGGGUCCUGAGACGGGGACGGAAACUCUGGCUCGGAAGCCAACAAUACACUCUCACACUCCCUUAGAGCACAAGCACACUCAAGAGACCUGGGAUCAGUUCCUUCUCUCGCCCUUCUGUAACCCCUACUAUAGAACCCCGCGUGGGUAACACGAGCAGCCUCGAUACUGGACGUAGGGCCUUCCUUUGCCCGAACCAGUCUAACCCCGUGUCUCCCACGCCACCAUCCGAAGCCUUACGCGCAUAAAAGAAAUUUACUAGUCUAGAGUCUUGAUCCGCAAAUCUUGACAACGACAACUACCUUGUUACAUAGGCUGGAAUCUAAGCUUUCUUCAUCCAAAAGAAGAUUAUAUAAAACAACCAGAAGGAGGGGGGGGGGAUUUUGACUGGUAAGGGAUGUUUUGCAGGAGGAUGUGCACCUCAACAUGAGUAACAUAGAAUCUGUGGGUACACUUUUAGCAACAUACCUUCAAACCACAUUCUAUGCAACAAUAAUCUUGUGCAAACCAUAUAUAGCUAUGCCCACCAUUUAUAGAACAAUGCUCAAUAGACUACAAUAUGCAUAUGAACGUGCACGGUGCACUACCGGAAUGUCUAAGUUUGUCGUGUGUCCAUGGCACACGGUGAAGCAAAAAAAAAACACUUGGCAAAGCUUUUGCCGAGUGGGCGUACACAGUGCCGGUAAAAAUGUUUUGGCCGAGUGCUAAAACCGACACUCGGCAAACAAAAAAAGCAAUGUGACGGUGCGAAGACGGUCACAUCACGAUUGCUGAGCGUCUAACGGUAUGUCCACGGAAAAACAAUCCUCGGCAAACAUGAGUCAUUUUAGACUUUAGGCACAAUUUCCUAAAGGAACACCAGAAAUUUCACAGAAAUUUUCACAUUAGCUAUGUAGAUAAUAGCAAAGUUCUUGCAAGGUGACCAUACUUGCAAGGUAUGCUCGCACGUGUUCAAAUUUGUUGUAAAUCUGCAGUUCUGUCCGAACAUAUAAUGACCUGAACAGCAAAAAGAUUUGCCUCGACAGCACCAGGGGAGGUGGGAGCUCACUGUUUACCGCUUUCUGUCCUCCCUUGCAAUCAACUCCUAUAGUGUCCAAAGACUUGACCAAGUCCAAGUCCACGCGGUCCAGGCAAGCCCACUGGCCACCGGGAAACUCGACCCCACAGCACGAGUUGGAGGCCCCACGCGGGAAAGGAAUCCUAAGCGAUGCAAUCAUCCAUAUGUGGGUCCCUCAGACAUGAUUUUUUGGCUGUGAACACUGCACAGCAACUCGCGAGAAUUUUGCCCUCAGCCUUUUUUAUCUGUAGGUUUUGGGAGCACAGAGAGAAGGAAAAAUUGGGUUAAGAUGGAGUUGUUAUUGGGAUAUGCGGAAAAGUAGGUAACGAAGUUGGACAACUGUUGGAGCUUUGGUUUUUCACCUUGGUUACCAAAAACUAGUCAUUGAAAUCAUAUAUCGGGCACUCUUAAAAAUACUCUAACUGAUGAUCUAGUACAUAUAUUUUGAACAUUAUUUUUUAAAACCUUAUAGCAACUCAAAACCUCUUUUAAUUUUUUCUACUAUCAUAAUCGUCUUAAUCUUGGUCUACUUAAAUGUUUAGACUACUUAACCUGCAAUAACGUUUCUUAUCUAGAAGAGACUAUUUGCCCAACAACUAACCGUCGUAUUCCCUCGUAAAUAGCCAUAGGGCCCAAGCUAUAUGAUCACCACCUAAACCAAUUAUUGUCUCGACCACCUAAACCAAUUAUUAUCUUUCCAACUAGCAUUUCGCUUGCGUAAAUGGAAUCCCCAUCUGCGACUGUGAGGCCCUGAGAAUUGAAGCGCCCUUCCUCUCUGACACCACCACAAGCUAGCAGAGCGGUAGAGCCAGCAGCUUCCCAGUCGAGAUGGCCGAACUGAUGGCGAGCGCCGCCACGAGCAUGAUGGGGUCCGUCAUCGGCAAGCUGACUGCCAUGCUCGGCGAGAAGUACCAGCUCGCCAGAGACGUGGAGCAAGGGAUCCGCUUCCUGAAGGAUGAGCUGAGCAGCAUGGAUGCCGUGCUGCAGAAGCUCGCAGACAAGGACGACGACCAAAUGGAUCCAAUGGAUAAAGAUUGGAGGAACAAGGUGCGUGAGCUAUCCUUCGAUAUUGAGGAUUGCGUCGAUCGCUUCAUGCUCAAUCACAGCCAUGGAGGUUCCAAGGCUAACUUUGUUCGCAAAGCCGUGCGUAAGGUGAAGAUGUUGUGGGAGGACCAGGGCAUAGCAGGGGAGAUCCAAAAACUCAAGAUACUCGUGACAGAGCAUAGUGACCGGGCCAAACGCUACCGUGCGCUUGGACCCUCGCCGCCUCACUAUCUCGCCGCCUCACCUCAGCCGGUGCGCUUGGAUCCUCGAGCAACUGCCCUCUUUCAGGAGGCGAGGGAUCCUGUGGGAAUUGAUGGUCCUCGCGAGGAAAUCAUCCAGUUAUUACAAGUUGAAGAAAAUCAACACAAGGUGGUGUCUAUCUAUGGUACCGCUGGGCAGGGGAAGACUACUCUAGCCAUGGAGGUAUACCGAAAAAUCACACAAACACAAGCAUUUGAUUGCAGGGCUUUCGUGUCUGUAUCUCAGACUCUGGAUAUGAAGAAUCUACUCAGAGAUAUAUUGUCUCAAAUAGUAAGCAAGAACGAGUUUGACCAGUUGCAGUCGGAAAAUUGGGAGACGCUGCAAAUUGAGAUACGCAAAAUGAGAGGCUACUUAAUUGGCAAGAGGUAACCAGAAUUACUUUCUUGUACUAUAAUAAUUAGCCAGUUCAUCUAGCUAUGGCAAUGUUGUGAGGUCUUUGUCGAUCACAUGAGCUCACCUAAUUUAUCGGCCAUUUUACGGUUGUAUUUUACGGACCCAUUCGAGCAUAAAACUACCACAUAUGCAUUUGUUAUAGCUAAAACCAUGACUUCAGCUGUUCAACAUAUCUACCAAAAGCCACAUAUCUUACAACAAGGUCAAGUCAGCUGCUCAUGAAUGUAGGCGUAUGUGGUUGGAGUUGGCCUGUACUAUACUAUAUAAAAUGAUUGUGUGCGAAUGAUAUUUGAGUAGAAAAUUAUUUACUCUAUACCAUCAAAUAAUUUCAGAUUCAAUAAAAUUAUUUCUUGAUAGCUUCAACCAUGUUUGUUUCGUAUAGCCAUUCUAAAUAUCCAUAAAAAUCUUCUUUAAAAAUUAAGUUUUCAAACUGAACGCUUCUUGUGUUUCAGUGGGUCUCAUGUGGAGGAAGCUACUAUUUUGGAGGUUGUAGACAGAUUCUUUUCCGAUAGUAGAGGAAGUAGUUUCCAGCCUCUAUUCCUAGCACGUGUAAUACGAACUGACAGAAAAAAUAAGCCACCACUAUCCAUCGCUUUACUUUUCUCCAAUAUCUUUCACCAUGAUAUGCUCUAUAUGUUGAAUAGUUAUGGUGGCCUUGUAACAUGAUUCCUCAACCAAUGCAUGCAGGUACUUCAUCUUGAUUGAUGAUAUCUGGAAUGUAUCAGAUUGGGAGCUUGUACAAGCUGCCUUACCUCGCAAUGACAACGGAAGCAGAAUAAUUACUACAACUCGCAGUAAAACAGUAGCCGAAACAUGUGCUGGUAUUGAUGCACAAAUGUACAAAGCAAAGCCACUUGGUGAUGACGAAUCUCGCAGAUUAUUCUUUAAAAGGCUAUUUCACUCAACUGAACAUUGUCCCCAAGAUUUGAUGGCAGUAUCCAGUGAUAUUUUGAGGAAAUGUGGGGGAUUACCAUUAGCCAUAAUCAGUAUAGCUGGUUUAUUAGCCAACAGAAGCAAAACCAAGGAAGUCUGGGUCAAUGCAUUGAAGUAUAUUUCUGCUGCAGUUGACAGAGAUUCUCACAUUGAUAAAAUGAAAAGAAUUUUUCUGCUUAGUUACUUUGACCUUCCUCUUCAUCUAAAGAGCUGUAUGUUAUAUCUGAGCGUGUUCCCGGAGGAUUAUGUGAUUGAUUGUAGACGGUUGAUAUUGUUAUGGGUAGCUGAAGGACUGAUUCCUGGACAAAGCAGAGAAAAUAUGGAGCAGCUUGGGAGGAGUUACUUGAAUGAGCUGAUCAAUAGAAGCUUGGUCCAGCCAACCAAGGUUGGGGCAGAUGGCGCAACAGUGAAACAGUGCAGAGUUCAUGAUGUCAUACUUGAGUUUAUUGUAUCAAAGGCUGUGGAGGACAAUUUUGUUACUAUAUGGAAUGGUAAUGGAUUUUCUGUAAAUUAUUCUUCUAACAAGAUUCGCCGUUUAUCUAUCCAAUAUGGUAUUUCUAUGCGGGCUGAAGAGAUGGUGAAGAUAAAAGAACAGGCAGCUCAUAUUCGAUCAAUUAAUAUUUUUGACCCUAAUUCAGUGCUGCUAAUUAAAAACACCUCUAUGUUUUUAAGUAGCCAAGUCUUGCGAGUGCUGAAUACACAAAGUCUGGAGGAUUGCUAUCUUGGACAUGUCAAAAGUUUUGGUCAAAUCAAGUACUUGGGGUCAUCAAUAUGCCACUGCAAACUCCCAAAAGAUAUAGAAAAGCUGCAACAUCUAGAGACACUAGAUGUUACGUGGUGUAACAUUAAAAAACUACCGGCUAGCAUUACCCAACUGCAGAGAUUAGUGCGUCUUCGUGUCGAUGGUCACAUAAAACUACCUGAUGGGAUUGGAAAUCUGCAGGCAUUGGAAGAGCUAUCAUAUAUCGGAUUGGGUUAUCAAACUAUCAAGUUUAUCCAAGGGCUCGGCGAUCUGACCAAUCUGAAGGUACUUGGAAUUCAUUGGGAGUACCCUUAUGCAGUCGCGGGACGUCACGUGGACGUGGAAGGCCGCAAGGAAGCAUGUAUCUCGUCACUCUCCAAGCUUGUCACAACACUUCGAGAACUGCGCAUCAUGCCAAUACUUGAAUAUUUCAUAAGUUCACAAUACUUCUUUCCCAAACGUGAAGGACCAAGUGUCGUGCCCUAUCAAAUCAUUCAAAUCAUCAGCUCGCUAGUCAACCUGACCCGCCUCAGUAUUGGACUAGUAAGCCAGGAAGGGAUAAAUAUCGUAGCAAGUUUGCCCAUGCUCCUCUCUAUUACUGUUCGCUUUUCCUUUGAAGAGGGUAAUUCUGGAAUCAGGUAUACAAUCAGCAGUCAAGGAUUCCAGCGUUUAGUCAAGUUUAAUUUCUCCUGUUAUUAUGAGGGGGCGGAGUUUGAGCCAGAAGCCAUGCCAAAGCUCCAAAGGCUCAAGCUGUACCUGGCGGCACGGGAUCAGUUCAAUUAUGAGCAAGGCGGCCUGGUCCUUGGGCUGCAGAAUCUGGCAGGCCUCAAACAUGUUGCUCUUAGUAUUAACUGUGAGUAUGCUACUCCUGACGAGGUGCAGGAUUUGGAGGAUGACAUCAGGGUUGCAGCAGGCGCCCAUCCCAACCGUCCCGUGGUCCAGCUGGUCGAAAAAGUACGUCAAGAUUGUAUGGCUCAAGGGUGCAGCAGGCGCCCACGCGACCAUCCCAUGCUAGAAGCACAAUGACCAAGUAAAUGCACGGUGUGGAGAAUAAAUAUCAUUAUCAAUGAUGAUCUUUUUUUCUGUUUCAAGAGCACGUUGGAAUUAAACAAGGUUAAUUCGAUUUGUUUUCAUCUUAGUUUUUGCUUUAUGACAACAUGUGUGCAUGUAGAUUGGCCUCUCGGAUCUAUGGAGUGCUGAUAUGUGUUGCUUGAUAUGAUGGUGUUGUGUCGAGGUGGGUUUAGGAUGUGUGCUCCGAGUGAAGGCAUUUGCCCUUCGCCGGGCCAACGAUGCUGACGCCUGUUGGUGCCACAUCCCUCUCUAUUGACUACGAAGGAGUGAUUACGUUAAGCUCUUCCUUCAUAUAUGGAUUGUAGGUUACUAUGUAAUUUUGAGACGUAUGUUGAGUUUAAGAUCUUAUGUUGUUUAUCACUUACUGGAUCUCUUUCUUCUUUUUUUCUUUUAUAUUUCUUUUUGACAAGGUUGUGUGUUGUUGCAUAGGCGGCUGGAAUCUAAGCUUUCUUUAUCCAAAAGAAGAUUAUAUAAAA